Molecule: long non-coding RNA, 984 nt
Organism: Malaclemys terrapin pileata
Lineage: Eukaryota; Metazoa; Chordata; Testudines; Emydidae
Exons: 3
Source: RefSeq, a predicted model, not a curated record
GAAGAACUCAGAAGCGGGCGCGCGCCUGUGGGCCGAGUCGGCGGGCGGAAGACAACUGGCCUCCAGCCCGCGAGAGAAAGGCCGCGGUGUGCAUCCAAAUGGUGACCUGCAUUUCUCCCGUGUUUCAAACUACCUCAUCAGACCAGACUUCCUGCUGGAAAUUAUCAGUAAAAUUGACAACUCUUGCUAAGAGAGAUCAGCACUAUUCAUUUGUAUGGAGCUACUGGAACAUUAGUAGGACCUUCAGCUCCUGAGAGGGAAACCUUUCCAUUGGGAGGGCAGUAGCAACACCCCAGAGACAGCAGAGGCAGACAGAGAAGAAUCCUGGAAGAUCUGCUCAUUGCCUGGGGAAAUCUGCUCAUUGCACAGGAGGAACCAGUAUCAGUUUGAAUUCCUCAGGGAAAGGGAGGAUUCAGGAAGACACACCGAUGAAAUGGUUCCUGAAGCAAGAGGCACGUCUCAGGGAAUGGGAGCCUUCCCGAAUGGAGAGGCUCAUAGAACUGGUGGCCAAACAAGUUGGGAGUCUGCCUGCUGCCAUGACAACUACACCUGUCAAUGAACUGCCAUCACUACCACCAUCUGCUCCUCCUCCGUCUGCUGCCAAGGGCACUGCCGAGGUGAAGGAGCCAACACUCCCAACGGACUGGGAGGAGAACAUGGAGCCUGCAGUACUCCCCAGACCAGACGUUCCACUGAUGCCCAAAACCCUUCGCAGGGGGGCCUCCCUGAGCUCCCAGGCAGGGAACAGUGAGCCUGCAGAAGUCUCUGAAUCCGACCAAGUGCCCACUCUCCAAACCCCAUCUAGGAGACAUCUUUCUUUGUCCUCAAGAACAAUUUUACCAUGUUAGUCCUCUUUAUCAGGAGGUGGGCAAGGAGACGGGUGCAGAGACAUUAACAUUUCCCCUGGUUGAUGGAUUCAGACCCAUUAUGUUUUAAAUAUUUUUGCUUUACAUUUCUUUAAAUAAUAUUUUACUUAUGAGUUCC